AUUGAAAGUAUUCUUCUAACUUUUCCACUAUUUUGGGAAUGUUAGCGCUAUUCAACAGCGUUUCAUUCAAUCUCCACCUAAACUCUCCUUUAGGAAGAUUCGUCAUUUUAUAAGUGAGGAAAACAGGUGCAUGAUCUGAUAAAAGAAUACUUCCAAUUGUUGAUGACACACAAUUCUGCAAUGAUCGUAUAUCGAGGAAUAUAUAAUCCAAACGCUGAUAAGAUUUAUGAGCAGCUGAAUAAUAUGUGUAAUCUUUUUCAGCAGCGUGCAUCAUCCUCCAGGAAUCAGUCAAUCCUAGUGAGGAAAUUGCUGACUUAAUCUUAUUCAGAGACGUCCUAGUAAGCGCAGACAGACCAGAGGAGGAGUCCAAGGUGGGAAGUUUCCUGGACCUCUGGGGAUGCUGUUUCCUUGGUACAACGGUUUGCCAGGAAUCCUGCACCGUCAGUUCAGGGCUCUGUGGACUCUA
Long non-coding RNA from Bufo bufo (common toad), 466 nucleotides. RefSeq lists it as uncharacterized. The transcript is spliced from 3 exons. Lineage: Eukaryota; Metazoa; Chordata; Amphibia; Anura; Bufonidae. The record is from RefSeq and is a predicted model, not a curated record.